UUUUAGGCAAUUUCUGCUCAAUGACAAAUAAAUAGCUGCAAUAUAUUAAUUGUACUAAGGUAGCAUAAUAAAUUGUUUUUUAAUUAAAAAAUAGAAUGAAAGAAAAAAUAAAAAAUAACUAUUUAUUAAAAUUAAAUUAAAAAUUAAUUUUAAAGUAAAAAAUCUUUAAUAAACAAAAAAGACAAGAAGACCCUUUAGAAUUUAAUAAAACAAUUUAUUAUAUUGGGGAGAUAACAAAAUUUAAAAAACUUUUGUUAAAAAAAAACUAAUAAGUAAAAAAGAUAAAUUAACCAUAACAUUUUAAAAAAAAUAAAUUACCUAAGGGAUAACAGUGCAAAAUUAUUUUAAAGAUCAAAUUUUAAAUAUAAAUUGCAACCUCGAUGUUGGAUUAAGAA
RNAcentral lists this ribosomal RNA (395 nucleotides) under Vasdavidius concursus. RNAcentral describes it as "partial 16S ribosomal RNA". Lineage: Eukaryota; Metazoa; Arthropoda; Insecta; Hemiptera; Aleyrodidae. The record is from RNAcentral.